UUUUUUUUUGUCCUGAGAAAAUUAUAUGGUACUGCAAAAUGUAAAUUUAGGGUAAUGAGUAUAGAGGAAGUGGGCAAAAAAGGGUGAUAAUUGUUGACAGAAGAUAGAGAGCACUGAUGAUGAUAUGCUAAUUAAAUUUGUGCAGCAAAAGCAUCUCAAUUCAUUUGUGCUCUCUAUGCUUCUGUCAUCACCUUCAGCCAACUAUCCCUCUCUUCUCUUAACUUCAUCUAAUUUUCCUCUUUUCAUUCGUCUGUUUUCUUGAAAUUUAUUUCACAUUUUGUAUAUGUAGUUAAUGUUGGUUCUUCAAGAAACAGCUUCUCUUACCCUCGGCAGAGGCAAAGUCUGCCCCUCCUCAGACUUCUCUUGUGAAAUUAUAGUGGGUUGUUAUUAUAUAUGUAUUUUAUGUAUAUAGUCAAAUUCUAGAUGUUUCUCAUCCCAUGACAUAUUUCUUUUAUCUGCUAGUAUAUAGGUUCUCAUUUUCCGGGGAUUUCUCUAAGAUGAAAGCAAAAAUUCUAUAAAAUGAAAGAUUUUGAAAUCUAUUUGCAUGAUUAAUUUACAUAAUUGGAGAUUCCUUUUGCGGCUGUCUCUUGCUUUGCAAACUUGUUAGAAGCAAAAUCUGAAAGUGAAAGUUAUUUCUCAUGAUUUACCAUAAUUCGAUUGUUUAUAUAUUUUUCUCUUUAUGUUUCACCAGAUUAUUGACUUUCUAACUGUUUGAUUAAUUCUUGAGUUCUAUACUUACUCUAUCUUGUGAGUUCACCUAUGCUUUUGCAGCUAUUGCUAGAUCCAAAGCUCCUCGCUUUGACAAGCACUCAAAGGACAUUUCUGAGGAAUGAGAUGUUAAUUAAGCUACCUUUACAUGUAAACCCUCUACUCUUUCUCUCAAUUUUGUAAUAAUUCAAGUUACAAUAUAUAUAUAUGUGUGUGUGUNNNNNNNNNNNNNNNNNNNNNNNNNUAUAGAGUAAUUAUAUGGUGGAACGAUUUCUAUGGCUCAUUGUGUGUUUGUAUUUUCUAACACUUGUUCCAGAGGUAUUCAGAGUGGCGGGUUAAGGAUCUUACUGGUUAUAUUUACGUAUAACUCACUCCUUACCUGCAUGUCUAUGCAAAUACUAUUGGUGAAGACAGAGCUAGUAGCUAACGAGUUCGCUAGAGUUAAUUUAGUUAUUGAGGUUAGCCGCCGCAUUAUUCGUGGAGGCUGCCAAAAGAGUCUUUAUUAUUUAUUCAUAUGAUAUCUUUUGUAAUUCUCUUAGAUGCUCCAUGGUUUAGUGUACGAUUUGGACUAGAGUUUCAGUGUAAUAUUUUGAGAUAUUAAUUGUUCAUAAUUAAUUAUCAG
RNAcentral lists this long non-coding RNA (1330 nucleotides) under Nicotiana tabacum (common tobacco). Its description in RNAcentral is "long non-coding RNA (NTAB_LNC016192)". The record is from RNAcentral. Lineage: Eukaryota; Viridiplantae; Streptophyta; Magnoliopsida; Solanales; Solanaceae.